Molecule: ribosomal RNA, 551 nt
Filed under: Heterosigma akashiwo
Lineage: Eukaryota; Raphidophyceae; Chattonellales; Chattonellaceae
Description: partial Bacterial small subunit ribosomal RNA
Rfam family: Bacterial small subunit ribosomal RNA
Source: RNAcentral
ACGGAGGGAGCUAGCGUUGUUCGGAAUUACUGGGCGUAAAGCGCACGUAGGCGGCUUUUUAAGUCAGGGGUGAAAUCCCGGGGCUCAACCCCGGAACUGCCCUUGAAACUGGGAAGCUAGAAUCUUGGAGAGGCGAGUGGAAUUCCGAGUGUAGAGGUGAAAUUCGUAGAUAUUCGGAGGAACACCAGUGGCGAAGGCGGCUCACUGGCUCGAUACUGACGCUGAGGUGCGAAAGUGUGGGGAGCAAACAGGAUUAGAUACCCUGGUAGUCCACGCCGUAAACGAUGAUAACUAGCUGUCCGGGCUCAUAGAGCUUGGGUGGCGCAGCUAACGCAUUAAGUUAUCCGCCUGGGGAGUACGGUCGCAAGAUUAAAACUCAAAGGAAUUGACGGGGGCCCGCACAAGCGGUGGAGCAUGUGGUUUAAUUCGACGCAACGCGCAGAACCUUACCAGCGUUUGACAUCCUUAUCGCGGAUUUGAGAGAUCAUUUCCUUCAGCUCGGCUGGAUAAGUGACAGGUGCUGCAUGGCUGUCGUCAGCUCGUGCCGUGAG